CGAAAAAUGCCUCUUUACGAUUUUACUUAGGCACUUCGGCUAGUUUCAAAGCCAUCUCUGAACUGCUGCAAAUUUCAAUUUCUUGUUUCCAAAACUCUUAUGUACAGAAUUAGCAUUUCUUUUGAAUUACUGGUUUUUAAAAUACUUUAAGUUCUGACAAACUGGAUCCAGGUUGCCUAAUGCGGACUUAUUAUCCAACUCUAUGUGUUAAACUAGUCUGUCCACUUUCAGUUUUAAUCAUAACACCAAAUCAGUACUUGCAAGUCAUGCUAAACUAAUUGUUGUUGUGAUCUACGGGGUCUUGUAUGAGCCUUUGAAUGUAUGAUUUGUAUACAAUUACGAGUUAGUUGUUUUGAUUGACGCCUUAGUAUUUUGUCCAUUUAAACUCCGUAUAUGUCCUAUCCUUUUCCCCCUUUUAGGAUUAGUAGUCCAAAUAACCCAGGAAUGAUAGGCGGGGACGAGUACUAGUAUGCAAUAAGUAAACGAGACUAAUCGCGCUUAAAUACCUUAAAGGGGUGGGAAGGAUAGAAUAUGGAGAUGAUGAAGAUGCACUAAUAUCAUAAGGCGACCCCUCUAUAGGAACAUGUGCGGUAUAUUGCAUCGAAUGAUCAAUAUUGUAGUUAAACCUAGGACCCUCCUUCUUAAUUUUCCUUUAUAUAAAUACUUUUCUUCAAACUAAAACUCUCUUUUACUUGUACCUUUUCUGAUUUCCAAUAGACAACUUGUUUAUAUUUCUUAUGUGUAAACUUUGCUUGCCUAAUCCUACUCUUCUUAAAGUCACAUCUAAUCAACGCCCCCAACCACACUAAUGGAUCUUGAGGGGUUCCUAACACCUUCCCCUCGAGAUAUCUCAAGCCCUUACCCAAACUUUGGUUUUCCUUCAAAUCAUUCUUCUUUUCUCAAAGAGUGUCAUAAUGCAAUAUAAUUAUUAAGUGGCGACUCUUCAAACUCCAUUGCCCAAAUUCCCUCAAGAAGGGGAUAAAAGAGUCAUUCCCCCACAAUGUUGUAAACCCGAUUUAUUUCUCCCGAGAGAAGAGGGCGUCGACAGGUAUAAUAUAACAUGGCUGAGUACAUAUAUUAAAAUCAAAAUAGUGAGGAAUUAGCAGUAAAAAUCCCCUAAGGGUCCAAAUAGUUGGCACGAGGCCCAAGUAUGGCAUUCAGCCCAAAACAUGAUGAUAGCAAAGUGUUCUGUCAAAUACACGAUAAACAGUCAUUCAGGAUGGACUAAGUCACAAUCCCCAAUGGUGCACUACCCUGCGCUAUUCAUCUAGCAUGUGUGUCACCUUAAUAUAGCACAACGAUAUGAAAUCCGAGGUUUCAUAUCCUCAGGACAACAUUUACAAUCAUUACUCACCUCGAUCCCAUCGAAAUCUCUAGCCCGCGAUGCCUUUGCCUCUUGAAUCACCUUCCAGAUGUUUCAAAUCUAACUAAAGUUUGUGCACAACCAUCAAAAUAUGCUAAGGAAACAAAGGCCACUCGAAAAAAGUCAAAUUACAACACAAGUCCCAAAAUUGGCCAAACCUGGCCCCGGGCCCACAUUUCAGAUUCUGAUAAAAAAUUCAUCAAUAGACUCCUCAUCACCCUCGAGUUUAUUCAUAUCAAAAUCUCCAAAUUCCAACAACAAUUGAUCCCUCAAAUUUCGGAAUUGGCCAAACCCGACCCCCGGGCUUACAAGUGAGUACUCCAACUUAGUGAGUAAUAAUCAUAAAUAAGGACUGAAAUCAGGAGAUCAUGUAAGGCACAAUUGCACACUAUAAUGAAGCAGUAAAACCAAUGAUGUAGUAAAAUCAGUAAAAGAGAUGUGAAAGUCAUUUAGCUCAAAUUAAACCUCCUGAAAACCCUUUUCAGCAAUUCAGCAGGUAAAUGAUAGGCAAUUAAGGAAAAAUAAACACAUCAAUAUUCGCUCCUCUAGCACAGUAUCAACAAAUCCUCCCCUCAGGCAAUAUCUUAGAACAAUACCAGCCCCUCGGGCUACAUCUCAUAUCACAUGGGUACCCGCACACACUGGGGUGUGUGGACUCCUGGAGGGGGCCCUUACGGCCCAAGCACAAUAUCAUUCCAUCUCGUGGCAUCAUCACUAGGCUCUCGACCUCAUAUCAAUCAAGUCACCUCGUGGCGUACAUAUCUCAGGCCCUCGGCCUCAAAUCAAGCACAGUUUUUCCUUACAACAUAGGCCAUUGACCUUACUCAGGGAAAAAUCAUCACAAGCCACUCGGCAGUAGAAAAAUAGGAUUUCUCAGCCCAGUUUUUUUUAAAAGAUCAUAUAAGUGUUAAAACAUAGUAAACAUGACUGAGUGUGAAAAUAGUGAAAUAUAUCAUGACUGAGUUCAAGUAUAAAAUCAAAACAGUGAGGAAAUAUCAAAAAAAAUCCUCGAUGGGUCAAAUAGUUGGCACGAGGCCCAAAUAUGGCAUUCAGCCCAGUUAUCGGUGAUAGCAAAUAGAUUUCAGUCAAAUACACGGUAAAAUAGUCAUUUGGAAGGGACUAAGUCACAAUCCCCAACAAUGCACGAUUCCACGCUCGUCAUCAAGUAUGUGCAUCACCUCAAUAUAACAAAGAAUGUGCAAUCCGGGGUUUCAUACCCUUAGAACAUCAUUUACAAUCAUUACUCACCUAAAACUGGUCAUAUCUCUAGCUCGCGACCCCUUUUUCCCUCGAAUCAACAUCCAGGCGCGUCAAAUCUAUCCAAAAUCACAAUCCCGGUGUCAAAAUAUGCUAAGGAAAUGAAGCCCAAGCAAAAAUAAUCAACAUACAACACAAAUCUUGAAAUUACCAAAACCGGUCCCGGACCCACGUCUCGGAAUUCGAUAAAAUUCACAUUAAUGGAUUCCUUAUCUCCCCACGAGUUCAUACAUAUCAAAAGUACCAAAAUUCGACCACAAAUGGUCUCUUAAAUCCUCAAGUCUAGGUCUCCAAUACCAAGCCCUAUAUUCCUAAGUUUAACCCUUAAUUUCCAUUAAAUAUAGCUCUAAUCCGUGAAAUAAUAGCAUAGGAAUGAGUUUUAGGUCCAAACUCCUUACCUCAAUGAAGUUCCCUUGAAAUCUCUCUUCAAAUCAUCCAAAAAGCUCCUAAGUUGAGUAACAAAUGGUGGAAUAGUUCAAAAAUUGUGAAGGAAAUAAUUUAUACCUUCUGGCCCAUGCAUUUUCACAUCUGCGACCACUUUGCCGCUUCUGCGGUAGUGCAUUUGCGGCCAACCAUGCGGUUAUUCACUUAACUUCCCAUUUUCCACAUCUGCGACAUCGCAUGUGCGGUCUUCCUAACCGUUUUUGCGGUUUCUGCCUCUCCAGCUCAUUUCCAAUUCUGCGUCUCCGUUCCUCACAUCUGCGGCAUCAUAUAUGUGGUCCCCAAUUUGCAGGUGAGCAAAUGCCAGAAGCAGAAAAAUCUGCAACUUCACAAAAUCUCAAACUUAUCCGUCAAUCAUCCAGAAUCACCCCCAGGCCCCGAGGAACUUAACCAAAGGCACCAACAUAUAGCAUAACCUUACUCACACUCGUACAAAUCUUUAAAACACCUCAAACAAUGGAAAAUCAACUAAAACACAUCGGAUUCAAGCCUAAGUUCCCAAAAUUUUUCCGAAUUCCUCCUUUGAUCAAAACUCCAACCAAAUCAUGUCCGAAUGACUUUAAUACUUUGCACACACAUACCAAAUGAUACAAUGGAACUACUGCAACUCUCGGAAUUUCAUUCCGACCCCUAUAUCAAAUUUUUUCUACCAACUGGAAAUCGCCAAAAUAUCAACUUCACCAAUUCAAGCCUAAAUCUACUUCGAACCUCCAAAACUCAUUCUAAUAAUGCUCCUAAGUCCCAAAUCACCUUCCAAAGUUAACCGAACCAUCGUAACUCACAUCCAAGCCUUCUAGAACAUAAGUCAACAUCCGUUUGACUUUCUCAACUUAAGCUCCCUCAAAAGAGACAAUAUCUCAAGCCUUUUCAAAUCAAUUAUUAACCCCAGCCAACCAGCCCUAUCACACAUAGAACCGAUAGACAAAGAAAUAAAAAGUAGAAAUGGGGGAAACAGAGUAGUAACUCAUGAGACGACUGGCCGGGUCAUCACAUCCUGCCUAACCUAAACAAACAUUCGUCCUCGAACGACUCAAGAAACAUACCUGCAGCCUCAAACAGGUGAGGAAAUCUGCUCUACAUCUCCCACUAGGUCUCUCAUGUAGCCUUCUCCAAGGGCUGACCUCUCCACUACACCUUCAUUGAAGCUAUAACCUUUGACCUCAACUUUUGAACCCGAUGACCCAAAAUAGCUAUUGGCUCCACAUCAUAAGUCAACUUAUCAUCCAACUGAACCAUGCUAAAAUCUAGAACAUGAGACAGAUCCCCAACAUACUUCCGAAGCAUAGGAAUGUGAGAUACCGGAUGCACACUUGACAAGCUGGGUGGCAAGCUCAUAAGCCACCUCCCCAACUCUUAGACGCACCUCAAAAGACCCAAUGAACCGCGGACUUAAUUACCCUAUCUUUCCAAAUCCUAUAACACCCUUCAUGGGCAAAACCUUCAAUAGAACCUUCUCACCAACCAUGUCGGACAUAUCUCGAACCUUCCUGUCAGCAUAACUCUUCUAUCUCGACUGUGCUGUACGGAGCCUCUCAUGAAUCAUCUUCACCUUUUCCAAAGCAUCCCGCACCAAGUCUAUGCCCAACAGCCUAGCCUUACCCAGCUCAAACCAACCAACUAGAGACCUACACUGCCUGCAUACAAAGCCUCAUAUGGAACCAUCUGAAUACUCGACUGGUAGCCGCUUUUAUAAGCAAACUCUGCAAGUAGAAACUGAUCACAUGACUCGUCGAAAUCAAUGACAUAGGCAUGCAACAUGUCCUCCAAUAUAUGAAUUGUACGCUCAUACUACUCGUCCGUCUGAGGGUGAAAAGUUAUGCUCAACUCAACCUAAGUACCCAACUCUCGCUGCACAGAUCUCCAAAACUACGAUGUAAAUAAGUGUCCGUAUCUGAACUGAUGGAAAUGGGGACACCAUGCAAAUGAACAAUCUCUCGGAUAUAGAUCCCUACCAACCACUAUGAAGUGGACUGGAGGGAACAUUAUGCUAGGAAGUGGACCAGAGAGAACAUCAAGAUUAGUGUAACCUGGCAGCAUAGGCCAUCGGCCUUACUCAGUCAAAAAUCAUCACAAGCCACUCGACAAUAGAAAAAUAGGAUUUCUCAGCCCGAUUAUUUUUUAAAAGAUCAUAUAAGUGUUAAAACAUAGUAAACAUGGCUAAGUGUGAAAAUAGUGAAAUAUAUCAUGACUGAGUUCAAGUAUAAAGUCAAAACAAUGAGGAAAUAUCAAUAAAAAUCCCCGAAGGGUUCAAAUACUUGGAACGAGGCCCAAAUAUGAUAUUCGGCCCAAUUAAUGAUGAUUGCAAAAAGAUUUCAAUAAAAUACAAGGUAAAAUAGUCAUUCGGGACAAACUAAGUCAUAAUCCCCAAUGGUGCACGAACCCACGCUCGUCAUCAAGCAUGUGCAUCACCUCAAUAUAACACAAGAAUGUGCAAUCCGGGGUUUCAUACCCUUAGAACAUCAUUUACAAUCAUUACUCACCUCAAACCGGUCAAAUCUAUAGCUCGCGAUGCCUUUGCCCCUCGAAUUGGCCUCCACUCGCGUCUAAUCUAUCCAAAAUCAGAAUCACAGUGUCAAAAUAAUUGUAAUACCUCCUUUUUCUACACCUGCAAGGGCGUAAAGGUGUUUUUCCAAUUAAAGGACAAUCCGAACGAGAUUUAAUUAUCAAGAUUUUAGAGCCGCCACUUGGGAGAUUAAUGGUGUCCUAAGUCACUGGUUUAAUCCCGAACCGAGGAAAGAUAUGACUCUAUAUUACAGUCCGCAAACAAGAAAUUCUAAGUAAGGAAUGUUGUUGACCCGAGGGAGUGUUAGGCACCCCGGAUCCUGUAGUUCUAGCACGGCCGCUUAAGUUGCUGUCAAUGGCUAAGCAUCUGAUUUAAUACAUGGUAUAACUUAUGUGCUUUUUAUUCGCGAACCACUUCUAUUAUUAUUUUAAAAAAAUUGCAAUCUCGUUAAAAUGUGUCUCGAACCACGUCACAAUCAAUGCACCCAUGGUUGUCAACACAUUUCGACUCCGUUGAGAUUUAGAUUUCGGUCACAUAAAUGUGCACCCGAGUUUAAGAAGGUAAUUUUAUUAAAAUUGCACUUAAAGUAGCUAACGUAUUAUUAUCUUUUGGGAGGGCCAUAAAAUUUGCUAAACGGCCCAUCCCGACUUUCUAAGUAUUUUUAGUAAAGAUUGAAUGAGGGACCCGCAAUUUACAUUUUUAUUUUACGAGGCUUGUCUCAUCAUUUUUAUUUAAAGGAACACCUAAAAGCAACUAAGAUUUUUGUAUUUAUUUUUUGUUUCUAAAGAAAUAAAGAAAAGGGCCCUAAUUGGGUAACAUGUUUGAAAGAUCCCGAAAUGAUUUCAACAAAUAGGCCACAAAGCUGGGCCAACCAUCUUCCGCGAAAUUCGACGCUUCAUUAUUGGAAAAUUGGUCAAUCCUGGCCGUGUAAUAGUUUCUGCACUCAAUAGACAAAUUAUUGGGGCUUGCCAAUUAAUUCUCACGGCCCAGCAAUCCAAACCUUGUGCCAAAACUCAAAAUGAAGUUUGGUGAGUAGCAAUUAUAAGUUCAUGCCCGAAUUUAAACAUUUUACUGGGGACACCAAGGAUCGAAUUAGUAUUGUUCUACUGGCAAGGCAACUUAUUAAUGUUAGAGAAUUGCACAGUCUAGUUAAAUUCAAUCAAUACUGACAAGAAUGGAUCUUGGGCCUAACUCAACCUCAAAAGCUAGCUUAUGAGGUGAGGAUUGCCCAAGCCAUAUAAGGAGACCAAGGACCUCAAAUCCCUCCGAUGUGGGACAACUCAACAAAUACCAAUCACUAGCUCCACCGGAACACUGGUGAAUUAAACUAACGGCUAAAGAUCAGGAAUUGCAUGAUGCCUUUAGCUUCCAAUUUAUAAACUAGUCAGCUUCUGAUUUGGCAUUAACAAAUGGUGAAAUACAUCAUGAAUUCUACACUAAAUCAAGCAAACCUUACUGAAUAAACAAAGCUUAUAAAAUCAGAAGAAGAACUCUAAUGAGUUUAAUAGUCCAAAUUGAAUUAGUAAUCCAAACAGUUCAAAUCAUUGGCAACAGUCCUAAUUACAGUCUAUACACUUAUUGUUCACGUGAUAUCAAUAGAGGUUAACCAAAUAGCUACAACAACUAGUUAACUACAAACUACAACCAACAGAAUGCAUUCCUCAACAUGUAGAUCUGGCGAAACAUCUCUAUUUCAACUCCAAUUCAUAAUUACAUCAAAGUGAGUUCAUAAAUGGGUACCUGGGAAUCAAAAUUUAACAUGAAGAAGAAGAAGUUAGCACAACAGCAACGAGCAAAACUCAACCAGCCAAGAAUCACAGGGGAAGUGUGAAAUCAAGUGACAAUCAAUCAUCCAACCGUAAACCACACCUUCAGCAAUCAAAUCCCCCAACCAAAUACGACUAAAUCCCAAGCUAAUUCGAUACUAAACCCAAUCCAAGCAGUUUCGGAACUUCAGUUAUCAACUCAUGAAUGAAGAGCAACAAAUUAACAACUACACUCGAGAUGGACCAUCAGCUCCAAUAGAACAGUUUCUGAUUAUUUUUUAAAAGUUUUUCUAUUGUUUUUGAAGUUUGGAGUUUGAAUUUCAAAUCUCAGACCUGAAACUUGGAGAACACACUUUUGGGAAAUUUUUGGGCUCCCAAAACUUGUGUGUUAAGGCAUUGACAUGCCCUUUUAUAGGCAAAAAGGAGGGCAUCCCUCAGAUUUUAAAUUUUCACUCUUAGUCCCUUUUUAAUUUUCAUUUUUUGCUUACAUGUCCCUUAUUCCUUGACUUGCUACCCAAGUUAAUACUCCUAAUUUAUAAAUUCUCAACUUAAAACCUAUUCUAGAAUGUUCUAGUGAAUUCCAUUUCAGAUUUUAAAAGAUUCCCUACACUUGAAUCACCCAAAUUACCCCUACUUUAUUUAGAUAUUUACUAACCUAAUCACAACUAGACCCAACCCUUUUCUAUCCUAGUUAAACUAUCAGCUAUAUCAAAUUACCUAAAGCUAAUUGACUUGAAAAUGAAAACUAUAGAUCAAUUAAACUAAGCUUAAACUAACAGAAUCAUUGAUUCAAUUGAACGAGAAUUAAAACAGCUUCAAAGCAAGCUGGAAACAAGAUUAAACAAAAAAAAUCUAAAAGGAAUCAGAUUCAAGAAGGACAUUCGACCAAACUAAUCAAAUUGAACUAAUCGAAACUAAGCUAAUACUUAAUAGUUAACUAACAAUUUGAACAUUUAAACUAAGAAGAACAUAUUUCAACCUGGAAUUAGCUAACAACAAUAGACAAAAUUCUAUUGAAAUUAAACUACCAAUUAAAAUGAUUAGGAAAUUAAAACUACACUUAAUUAACAAAUAGAACAUGAAUCAAGCUAAAUCGAAACUAAAAAUGAGAAAAGGGCUUAUUGAUUUGGUCGUCAAACUUAAUUGAUUUCUGGAACUUAAUUGAUUUCUGGAACUUAAUUCUAGCUAAUGUUAUAGGUUCAUUUUGUCAAAACAAACGUAUAACAUUAACCAAAAUCCUUAGAACUAUUGAAACUCCAAACGGACGGAAAACUCGAAAACCCUAGAUUUGGAAUUUGAGACGGCCCAAUGAGAUUCAAGAGAAACUAGCCAUGGAUUUGUGAAGAGGAAUACGAGGAGGUUAUGUGGUUAAAAUUUGGUGGAUUUUGGAGCAAGUAAGGUUUUAAGCCGGCAUUUCGAUCUAAGAUUUGAGAAGAUCGGCUAGGAUUUGAGGGAUGAGAUUUGGGAUUUGGAAAGUGGAGGGGAUAGAGAUUCAAUGGUGUAAUUUUGAGGCCUACCGGAGCAUCGCCGCCGGCGGAGCCGAUUAGAAGGGUACGAGGAGGGAGAUACAUGUCGUUAGGGUUUGAUUCAUUUUCGGAUACUUUUAUCUUUUGAUCAAGAAUGAUUGAGAACCUUUUGAUCAGCAGAGAUGAAGUUCCAUGAUUGAUCGACGCCAAAAACGGCGUCGUUUCGGGGACUAUUGAGUUGGACUAGGUUGUGGGUUGGGCCUGGAUUGGGUGAUUGUAUUUGGGCUGAAGCUGGCUUUAAUUAAACAAAGAGCCCAAUUCGUAGGUCUCUUAUCAAGGCAACUUUUUUCUUUUUAUUUUUUCUUUGUUUCCCUCUUUUCUUUUGUAUUCAUAUUUUUUUUCAUUUUUUGUUAAAAUGAGGAGAGGUGGAUUUCUUGUUUGAAAGUUGCGUCGAAUGUGCAUUUCUUUGGGAAACACAUUUUCCGCAGAGCGGAGAACGAAAGGCUUUUAUGCCUCCUCCUCUUCGCCGCCAGGGGAAGGCGGAACCCUACAUGGGGCGGCAUCCUUGCUCUUAUUAUUACUUUGGCAUUAUACCAUGAUGUUCCGUUUAAGAAAGGAAGUGCUUAUAGCGAGAAAUAAGGCUUCAGAAAGAUAGAAGAGUCUCACACGAAAAUAUCAGUUAUCAGAGAUAAAGGCGAUGAAGAAAGUUGAAAAAUAUUUUCCAAGUGUUCGAAAGAUGAAUCAGUUUGAACCUUUCCCUUAUUUAUAGGGUUAAUUUGUGCGAAAAUUGAAAAGGCAUGACAAAAACGGGCGCGGGAAACCAAAACGUCACAUCGCCUCCGACAAUGAAGAAAGUUGAAAAAUAUUUUUCCAGGGUUCGAAAGAUGAAUCAGUUUGAACCUUUCCCUUAUUGAUAGGGUAAAGUUGUGCGGAAAUCGAAAAGGCAUAACCGAAACAGAUGCAGGAAACCAAAACGUCACAUCACCUCCUGAAACACCUCCGGAAUAAGAGUAAUAAUAACGCAUGAGGGUGAUGAUGUCAUCCUAAAAAGGAAAUCAUACAUCAACCGAUCAACGACGUUGGGCAAGUCACAUCGUUCAUGUUGCCGCCUGAGUACGAGGUCAAAUUCUCCAAAGACGAGGUUCGCAAUUCCGUCCAUUGGAGACGCCUAUCGAAUGCGCCUCCAACGAACGGAGGGACUAACUAUAUAGGAUUAAAUUGGACCCUAGACGUCUCUACACUGAUGGUACGUUCUCGAGCAUACACCGACUAAAAUGAGGACAUGGCUUGGACGUGGUGACAAAGGCGAUAUUACUUAAAGACAGCGCCUUCAUUCAGAGGAUGUUACCUACUUUUGUACCUUUUUUAUUAUUUCGAAGAAGGUCUCCUGUUAUAUAAAGGAGACCUUAACAUUGUAAAGAGGGCAUCAUCAUUAUUCUCAAAUAAUACAACUCUUCUCUCUCUAUCUUUGUCUCCAUCUCCAAUGAUUGCUUCUCUCCUAAGUUUAUAUUAUCUUUUUAUCUUUCGGAUCUACAAUAACACUACCGUCCUUCUAAUCUCUAGGUCAUAUUAUAUUUGAUUACGAUUUACCUUCGUUUAUCUUUGAUUGUUUUUAAGCUUACAAAGUGUAUCAAUAACUUUUGAGCCAAACAGAUAAGAAUAUUGAGAUGACCUGUUGGAUAAGUGAAUUGGAGAGAGAAGAUAUAAGAAACAGAAUAUAAUAAUAUCUAUUUUAAAUUUGUGAUGUGCUUUAUAAAGGUUCUGUUUGGGUUAGAAUACUUUUUAUCAAUGGAUUAUAAAGUAUGUUCGUUGUAAUGUUUCAUUUUCCUUCUACACUUGGCCAGUGUCUCCCUACUUUACAUUUUGUUAUUUCAUCUUUAUCAACAUAUACUAAUUUCUAUUGUUGAAAUUCAUAAACAAGAGGAAAUGGACAAGAAGCGCAAGACCUCAGCAGGUCUGUAUGCAUGAGUCUUGGGGAAGUUGUCAUUAGUGGUAACUAUAUCUUGAUCUUAUGUUUGAAAACUGGCAGCAGCUUCCACAUUUACUCAAAGAUCAUUCUUCCCUCCUAGUAUGCUUUACAUUUAUAGCUCAGGUAGUUCCUUUUUUUUUUGUUGACAAGCAUUCCGAGGAUGCAAGCAAAAUAGAAGUAAGAAUAUCUCUAAUAUAAAAAUAAGAGAAAUACUAUACGAAUUGACCUUUGCAGCAAGGUGGUAACUUAGAUAGAUGCAGUGUGCUACUUACAGUGUGUCAAAGUAGGAUGGGAGUGGCACACUGGUAUACCAAUAAUAUCGACGUUUAAGAUGAGUUAUAAUCAUUUGGUAUUUAGAAUUUGUUAGCUUUCUGGUGAAAGAAAGAAACUUAUCAUGAAGACAUUGGUCAUAUGGCUAUAAAGGAAAUGAAUCUUCUAUUCUCGUGUCCCUUCCUACAUUAUAUUUACAAUAGGAAGAGAAACAUAAUGUCCAGCUUUAAUGUCAAAAGAUGCAUAUAGAAUAUGGUGCAGAUAGAUGGUUGUCUAAUAAAGGUCCAUUUAUUAUCUUUUACUUUUAGGGGAACUAAUUUCUGAGAACUCAUCUUCUUCCCUCUUUAUCAGAAGUGAGAAUGCUGACAUGAGUAACGAAAAAUUCUGUGAAAAAUACGAUCGCCUGCUAGUGGAAGGUUUUCUGCGUUCAGUCAAUCUACGCAGAGUGAAUCGGUCCCUAAGGAACCCCCGAAAGGGCUGCCGUCCGAUGGGUACACGAAAGUGACGAAGUUGCNNNNNNNNNNNNNNNNNNNNNNNNNNNNNNNNNNNNNNNNNNNNNNNNNNNNNNNNNNNNNNNNNNNNNCACGAAAGUGACGAAGUUGCUUUGACUACAGAACCAUGCCUGUCUGUUGGAGCGAAUUGGAUGAUCGGGCCGAGGGCUGCCCCCUCUUCCCCUCACUCUCCUUUCCCUAAUAUGAACCUUGAGUCAUCAAAGCCUUUUUGACUCGGCCUGGCCCG
RNAcentral lists this long non-coding RNA (11773 nucleotides) under Nicotiana benthamiana. RNAcentral's name for it is "long non-coding RNA (NBEN_LNC019361)". Lineage: Eukaryota; Viridiplantae; Streptophyta; Magnoliopsida; Solanales; Solanaceae. The record is from RNAcentral.